AGGUAUGCUUUAUGCUCACUCUUUUCUCCUUUUGCAAUUUUGAGUCUCUGCAUUACAAAAUACUAGAGAUGUUUACUCUUUUUAUGGACUUCAUCUAUGUGAUAUUAAUUGGCAGCCUCUAGGUGGGUAUGUAUUGUGAUGUGAAGAAGUGUCUGACAGAGAAGCAUGGAGCUCUGUUAAUGAACUGAAGCAAAAGGAAGAGCUGAGAAUUCGUCUGAUGGAAAAUGAUGUUAGGCUUCAAAUAGUGUAUGGCGUGCAAGCUAAGCAUUCUUUUUUUUGGGCUGUGCUUUCGAAGAAUCUGUUGGCAACAAAUUACUUAAGUUUUGGGGAUAUGGUGACACGUAAUUGCUCCAAAGUUGUAGCUUGUGCGAUAGUAUUGGUGGAUAUGAUCUUUCGUUUUCCUACUUCCUGACUUCGGCUUAUUGAUAGUCCGAGAAAAAUGAGUUUCAUAGGUAUUACUGCAAUAGGUCAUGUGCAUGUUGCAAUUCAAAAGGAGUGCAGAUUCUUGAAAUGAAGUGCAUAUAUCUAAAGAUUGAGGAUUUGCAUGGAUAUGCUUAUUUUGUUUGGAGUCACUGGCCUUUUGCUAGUCUUGCCUCAUGUGGAGACCGUCAACAUAAUCUUUUCUACUGUUAAUGGAAGAGGCUUGGAUUUCAAAUCAAUCACUUUAAAUUGGUUAUUUGUGUCACCACCACCAUAGGAGUUAGACCAUCCUUUCUGACCAUACAAGCUUUCUUCGACUACUGGUGUGAAACGAGUGGCCUUUACGAGCCACCUAAUUCUCUCGCCUGUAUGUCACGCGUCGAUGCAUGCUCUGGCAGACUUAUUUGGGGAUGGCUUUCCAGCAUCAGAUUGUCAAUUCCGACAUACCCCAAAUUUUAUCCGGUGUUAAAACACUACUUUGAGAGAUUUUCUUCACUUCCAGGUUCAUUUUAUUUUUCCUGGAGUUUCCGCAUUCAAAUCUGUUUGCUAUUUGGUGCUACUACUACUAUUGACUUCUGUUCAAUAUCCAAUUUAUAUUGUUUUGUGGAUGCUUGUUCUUCAUUGCUGGUUCCUUUGUUCUCCCUCGUAGCUUCUUCGUUCAUAUUUGACUCAGUUACAAUUAUUUUGUUGGGUGAGUUGGCUGUCAACUUUCUGAUUGGGUUAUAAUAUUAUUAGGAACCUUCUAAUUGACUAUUCUUAAGUUCUUUAUUGUGACAUUAAAGAGCUGCAUUUCGAGUAUUUGGUUGUGUUUGCUUGCUUCUCCUAUAUUGAUGUUUUGGGGAUUUGAUUUAUACAUGUAAGCAAUUAGAAAGGAGGAAAUAUGACUACAAAUCAGAAGGGCAAGACAAUUUUGGUUUCGGCAGAUGAGUUUGCAGAGUUCUCUCAGUAUCGAGAAUUCCUUAAAGAAUUCAUUUCAGUUACUACCCUUGUUGAUGUAAAACUGUGGAAUCUGGGACCGUCAAAGCCACCUCCUCUACCCUAUCAUUUGUAUUAAAGUAACUGAAGUUUGACUUCAAUUUGAUUUAUGUAUUUUAAAAUAAUUUAUCCUAUCGAAAUUGGAGUGUCUGAGUUUACCAGAAUGCUCCCAGGCACAAGUAUCGAGGUAAUGCACUAAAGGUUACUUUUUGAAUCAGAGUUUGGAUUCCGGUGGUCCUUCUAAUCAUCGGAAAUUUUAUUCUCCUUUAUUCCGUCAACUUUUGUUCAUAUGGAUAGUCACAUUUAUUUUCCAGUUGGUUUUAAGUCUUAUAACUAUUAGAAUAGAAUAGGAAAACACAAUCCUACACAAACUAGGAAUAGUUUAUAGUCUCCUAUUUGGUAAGGAAUUGUAUUAUAUAAUGUCUAUAAAUAGGGUUCUCUAUGUAAUUAUUACAACAACAAUUCAAUAAUAUUCUUUCCUUAUAUUUCUCACAUGGUAUCAGAGCAUUGGUGAGAAAAAAAAAAAGUCAGAAUCCUGUGACUGUCAACGGCUGGUUUGCAUUGUUGUCUUGUUUUACAAGUGUAGUGUGACAACCCACACCACCAUGAGGUGCGGAACACUCAGGCGAGGAAACCCCAGUGAGCUCCUCUGAGUUUCACCGAGUCACGCGCCCUCACGCGCCGCCAGGAGUACCAGGGUCGCGUCACCACGCGCAUCACACGCCGGCGCGUGUGACACUUUCCGGCCAGUUUUUUUCGACCAAUUUUUUUUCAUUGAGGUCGCCUCUCCAUUCCGAGGCAGACUGUAUAUUUAUUUUCUUAUUCCGACCAGUUUC
Long non-coding RNA from Solanum tuberosum (potato), 2231 nucleotides. RefSeq lists it as uncharacterized. The transcript is spliced from 4 exons. Lineage: Eukaryota; Viridiplantae; Streptophyta; Magnoliopsida; Solanales; Solanaceae. The record is from RefSeq and is a predicted model, not a curated record.